This 483-nucleotide long non-coding RNA is filed under the name Anas platyrhynchos platyrhynchos (common mallard). Its description in RNAcentral is "lncRNA (ENSAPLG00000031136.1)". The record is from RNAcentral. Lineage: Eukaryota; Metazoa; Chordata; Aves; Anseriformes; Anatidae.
AUGAGGUUCCUAUGCUAUGCUGACAUGUGCUUCAAGGACAUGGAGCAGCAUUUUUUGCCUGCAGGCCUAGGAGGGGAAAGUGCAGAAAAUGCUUGCUGUUCUGGCCGGGAAGGGUUUGAGAAGGCAGACCGAGCCCCCUGGAGCAUUACAGCCUACCAUUCAGAGCCUGGACAAGAGCUUGGCCUUGCACUUUUACAGAUCGCUGCCUGUAGCGGAGCACAAAGGGAGCGGCGAGACUCCCACGUCUUUCAGCGAGAAGAAAGGAGGCAGCGGAGCAGACUAACGCGGGCUUGCGUCUGGUGGCCUGGCGGUACAAAGGCUGCCUUUAAAAGAGAAGCGCAGCGUUAUUUAAUGAGCUGUGAGAUGAGGAGGCGCUGCUGCUAACGCUCAGAUCCCGGGAUUCAUCGGCUAUUCAUUGUGCUUAAUGUACAUGUUUCUACACCGUGCAUUUAGGAGAUCCCAGAGAAGAAUCCAAAACGGCUG